Pimephales promelas (fathead minnow) is the source of this 428-nucleotide non-coding RNA. The record is from RefSeq and is a predicted model, not a curated record. NCBI's taxonomy places the organism in Eukaryota, Metazoa, Chordata, Actinopteri, Cypriniformes, Leuciscidae.
GUGGAAACAAAGACACCUACAUCUUGGAUGCCCUUGAGGAUAACAUAUACCGCUGUUCAUGUAAACAAAAUCAAUAUCAAGUUCAUGUUGAUUGAAAUUCAAGAACUUCUCCAGCAUGAGGCCAGUUCAUUUCUAAUGUAGCUAACCGCAUCCCUCCCUCUGGUCCGGUUUAAAUUGAGUGAGUUCUGCUGAUUCAGGACGGGCUUGCCUCAAAGGAUCAUCUGAGAUCUACACGAACAGGUUAUAUCUGUCAAAACAUUUGAAAAUGACUCACAAGAUAUUAAAGAUUAAUUAACUGGAGACUAUUCCCAUGAUAUUCAUUGUGAAAUGGUUUGCUAAGGCAAUCUUCACUAUUUCUUUUUCUCAUACUGAAGGUGAGAUUUCAACAACACAGUAUUAAAGGAGUAGUUCACUUUUCAAAAAACACU